Molecule: ribosomal RNA, 253 nt
Filed under: uncultured bacterium
Lineage: Bacteria
Description: partial 16S ribosomal RNA
Rfam family: Bacterial small subunit ribosomal RNA
Source: RNAcentral
UACGAAGGGUGCAAACGUUGCUCGGAAUUAUUGGGCGUAAAGCGCACGUAGGCGGCUUUGCAAGUCCCAUGUGAAAUCCCACGGCUCAACCGUGGAAGUGCAUGGGAAACUGCAGAGCUUGAGUACUUAAGAGGAUCGUGGAAUUCCCGGUGUAGAGGUGAAAUUCGUAGAUAUCGGGAGGAACACCAGUGGCGAAGGCGGCGAUCUGGGAAGAUACUGACGCUGAGGUGCGAAAGCCAGGGGAGCAAACGGG